UGCAGCAGAGACUUUCCAGGGAGCAAACAUGCACCCUGACUCUGUUUGACCUGAAUGUGACGGAACCCUAAAUAGUAUUAAUGGAAACACCUGUGUUGACCUACUGUUCAUAAUGAUCAAGAGUGAUGCAGCAGAACGACAGGAGGUCUUUUUGUUUUGUUUUUGAACAAAUGCUCAUAAUGCAACUGAGAUGCUAGUAGUAGCUAAUGUAGCCUCAAGCCUCUAGCUUCAACCAAAGGUGAGGAGCUGGCAACACAUCUGACUCCCCUUGAGGUUGCCCAGCAGGCGGUCGAUGCAGACGUACACUGUGUCGGGGUCAGCACGCUUGCCGAAGCACAAGACACGACACUGGUCCCAGAGCUCAUUAAGGAACCAUGGAAGCUUAACAGGCCAGAUAUCCUCGUCAUCUGUGGAGGCGUCAUCCCACCACAGGUCUAUGAGUUCUUGUACCAGAGCGGUGUGUGUGCCAUCUUCGGCCCAGGAACCAGGAUCCCACAAGCUGCAGUGGACGUUGUUGAUAACAUUGAGAAGAGCCUAGAAAACAUCCGUCAGGCCAUGUGAACUCUUUAAAAAAACAGAACUACAUCUUAAAGAACUGUCUAUCUGUGCUGUAUCCACAAGAAAGUCACAAGUGGGGGGCUCUCUGUACAGAACCUGCAAAAAAAAUUGUCAUUCCCCAGCGUGAGAACACAGCAUGUACAGCAGUCAGAAUCAUUAAUAAACCUGUUGAGGUGUCUUGGUUACAUCAUGUUUAGAUUUGUUAAUUGGCGGUAUCGUUCAGUUCUAAAGGAAAUCCUGUCAGACGAACCCUCUUCAGUUAAUAAGUAGUGAUUUCAUUAAUCUCUCAAAGGUCAAGUAAUAAUUUCAUGCUUAUAUAAAAAUUGCAGUGUCAUAUGCGUGGGAACCCUCAAUGCUUUUAUUGUGAAAUUUGUGU
Long non-coding RNA from Larimichthys crocea (large yellow croaker), 934 nucleotides. RefSeq lists it as uncharacterized. The record is from RefSeq and is a predicted model, not a curated record. The transcript is spliced from 3 exons. NCBI's taxonomy places the organism in Eukaryota, Metazoa, Chordata, Actinopteri, Sciaenidae.